Long non-coding RNA from Colias croceus (clouded yellow), 807 nucleotides. RefSeq lists it as uncharacterized. Lineage: Eukaryota; Metazoa; Arthropoda; Insecta; Lepidoptera; Pieridae. The transcript is spliced from 3 exons. The record is from RefSeq and is a predicted model, not a curated record.
CCUGGGGCCUGCGGUCAUAUAUAUAUUACAUAAACAAUAAAAAAAUAUUUCAACGCCAUCUUUUGCGUAUAUGCGCGAAUAAUACCUCAAAUCGAUGUAGUGGUAUGUCAUCCACUAUACUAAACGGUUUUUGGUUUUAUAAGUGACAGUGAUUUGAAGUAUUCUCAUUUCGAAGUUGACGGUGGCUGUGCGACGGCAAACACGUGAUUUUAUUAUAAUUUCCAAGGAUUAUAAGAUACUGAGAUCUACCAACACCUGGAUGAGUCAAAUAUUGACCUAUAUGAUGGACCUAUGGAGUUUCUUGCCGGUUCUUCUCCAUAGAUACUGCUUUCCGAAUCAGUGUUGUUGGCAGACCAUCUCGGGGACGCACAUGACGUGGACCAAGCUUAUGGGGAGGCUGACCGAGAGGAUGGAUUAGAAAUAAGACCUAGGGGUGGACGUGACAAUAUAAAUACACCACCACGCCGGUGCAAAAUACAUGAACUGGUCGUUUCUCACCCUUAAAAAUAACUAUCUAUGAACCAAGGUACAAAAAAUAGACACAGAACAAUGGAUAGAAUAAUAACUAUUUAGAUUCAAGUUUAAAAAUAUAUAAUAACUAAAAAAACAUGUAGUUUUUCUUCAUUUUCAUAAACUUAUUACACUUGGAACUGGGACCCCCUGUAAUAUAUACAUGACAUAAAGAAAAUCCAAGUUUUCCACGAAAGAUUUUUUUUACCAUUUUUUUGAAUAUCUAUAAUUGCAUUAGAACAGAUACAGCUAAUUUUUAUUACAAAAGAAAGAGAAAAAAAUCCUGGGUCUCAGGAG